CUGAUGGCUUUUAUUGCAGAACUCUAGGCAGGAGCAAGAUGCACUAAGCAAGGGAGACUGUUCCGAACCCUUGGGAAUGGAGGCACAGGUCAGGUUUAUGCCCAGUCGCAGCACUCACAGCUGGGGUCAAAGACAAGCCCCACCUGGCAAUUCUGCUGGUAUGUGACUCCAUUCACGUACUUUCUGUGCCAGAAGGCAUUUCUGUUAUUCACCACGGGGUAGAGGCCGUUGGCUUUGCCAGCACAGAACCCACUACCCACAGAACUGCCUCCAGAGCUGCUUCCGGAGGAGCUGCUCCCGCUUCCACUUCCGGUCCCACUUCCGCCGCUGGGAGGAGAGGUUAUGGGCUCAACUGGCUUAGCAGGGCGGGUGCAACCCGAAAUAGCACAAAGCAGAUUAGUGGACCUGGAAGGGGCACCCAGAUUGCCUUGAGGCCGUUGAAAGCUUGAUAGAAAGUCACAUCAUCCCAUUCAGUGGUGGUGAUCUCGUUGUUCCGCAUCCCAGCAAAGGCAUAGAUCAGGAUUCUCUUGGAAAUUUAAAAUGAUGAAAGAAGAAUGGAAGAGCCUAGGGGCGUAAUGCGAAGGCUAUCAGAUCCAGAGAGAAGAAGAAAUCAGCUAGUGAUCAAGCCUGUGACCUAGAAUCUGGCAAUCAGUGUGAGUCCUGGAUUUCAAAGUAAGCAGCGUAAGAGAUGGCCGUAUGCGAGAGAAUCCACCUUCUAGGAAGUGCCAUGGUGGACGUGACUUGUUCUUCCAGGGCAGCAAUGUUCAAGAAAGCCUUCUAAACAAGGUCUCUGAACAGCAGGCAGACCAAAGAUGAGUGUCUCCUGAACAAGUGACAUAUGGAGGAGAUGGGGAAAAGUCAUCACUCACCAGGACAUCUGGGGGAAUCUCAUAGUCAGACUGGAUGUUGGAGAUGCCAGCAGCUACCGCGGUGGUGACCAUCAGCCUGGGCUUGUUAAUCUGCUUGGCUUAUUCAUAAGCUUCACAUGUCUCCUGUACAUAGGAGAAAGUCUAUGAACAUCAACUCUUGAGUUGAUUUCCAUGACCACUCUUUGAAUUAAAUUAAUCUUUCCCAUUCUUCAUUCUUUAGCAUCCUCACUAGAAUAGGAUCCUUCAUCUCCAACUGAUACUGUAGGGAGCUAGGUUUUCUGUACAGCCUCAGUGAUCUUUCUUAGACUGGUUGUAUGCUUUCCAGCCAAAAUGAUAUGGAACAUGGCUCCCCUGCACUGGAAUAGUAAAGAGAUGCUUGUCCUGAGGAGGGUUCCCAUGAGAGCCAGGGUACUCUCAAAGUCCAACCCAUUAAACUCGUAAGGGGGCAGGAAUUUGGUGAUUGAGGCAACGAAGGUCUGGCGGUUCUGAGGAGUGGAGACCAUGGCAGUGAAGCUGAGGGAGACCCAAAGAACACUGGGUGAGGGAACACCCUGAUGGUCCCAAUACCUGGUAGUAAAAUCAGUGUAGGAAGUCAUCUCAAAAAACUUCUGGAGCAGUUCUAACGUUUUAGCCACCAAAAGCCAGGAGAGUUUUCAGUCAACUAUUUCUGAGGAAAAAGAAGCAAAGAUUUGCUGAUCAGAACAAAUGGAAAGAUCAUUCAUUUCAACAUUAGCUGUUAGAGGGAUUGAUGCAGCCUCUCAUACUGGUUUUCUUCGUUCUCAUCCUUAUUCCUAAAUUGUGAGAGUGAUUGAAGUAGGUGGCCUGAGAUUGGUAUGUUUCAAUGUCUCUACAGUUCUAAUUACUGCCUUUGGAGUGAAGCCCCUGGCUGAGGACACUGAGUGCUUCAUCAAUGCCAGCCUUGAAUUGCUUCCAAGUGGAAGAUUGUUUUCAUCUGAGUCCACAAGUACUUGGACUUUUCUAAAUUUCCUUGGCAAUGGAGCUGGACUUUAAUUGACAACCACCUCCUGUGAGCCAGCCAUUCCCCUUAAUGUUAGAAUCACCUCUGUAUUGGAAAUAAUAAGCAAGCUUGAAACUUAACUGUGUGCUGCACGUCAGCCUAUUUGGAAUUGCAGCCUAGUGGCUGCUAUGAAAGUUUUUGCUCAAACUACUCCUGAAGGUUAAAACAUUUUGAUCCUUGGUCCUUUCAUUACUUACUUAUUUUUUUAGGUCAUUGAAAGCUUGGUAGAGCCACAUCUCUGCAUUCACAGAUAGUGAUCUCAUUUCACAUCACAGCAAAGGCUUAGAUCAGUGAGUACAGAGGCAGGGGUUGAUACCCCUAGACUUGAAGCCCCCCCCCCCCCCAGGCUUGGCAGGUCCUGGGCCCAGUUGAUGAAGUGUCAGCUGAUAGGCAGAACCCAUUACUCAAAAGGUGAGAAACUAUUGCAGGAAAAGCUCCCUAGAGAGUCAAACAUAGCUUCAGAAACCACAGAUUUCCAGAUAACUUUCCUGUUUAACUGUCAAAGGGAGAGAGAAGAUCUGUAUGAGAACCUUGUGUAUUGCAGCAAACCCAUAAUUAGCAGGCAAUUCAGGAAGAUAGCUCUUAGAGGUAGCUCUGUCCCUCCAAGAGAAUUAAUGAACCUUAAAAAUCAGAGCCUUAAGCCGGAAAUGAAAGCUUAUAGCUAGUAAACUUUGAUUUAAAUGUAUUCUAGCUUCUUCCACAUCCUAAUAAUAGCAAUUUCUAAUGCUUACUCAGCACCUGUUAUAUACCAAGUGCUACUCUGAGUAAUUUACUUAAAUUCACUCAUUAAUCCUCACCAAAACCCUAUCAGGUAAGUCCUAUUAUUACUUCCAUUUUAUUCAUUUGGAAACUGAAACACAGGAUAGUGGUAGAAGUCUGUUUAGCAAUUAAAGCUGUUGCCCUGAGUAAUAAUUUCACCCAGGGAGAAAUGAACCAUCCACUAGCAGUCGGGAGUCCUGGUUUCUGGUUUAGAUUCUGCCAUGAACUCUCUGUAUCUCUAGGACAAGUCAUAUGACUAAUCUCUGUCUUAGUUUACUGGCCUGUGUGAUGGGGUAUUAAUGCCUUUCCUGUCCACUUCUCAGAAAAGAGUUGUUUCAAAGACUCAGUAAGAUGGCAGGCUUGAAAAUGCUUCAACAGAGCCAAAGACACCAUGUGCAUCGCUUCACCUUACUAUUUUUUAUUGUUAACAUUCAUUUUUAAGGCCACUACCAGUGGGUUUCAGCUUUUGGAUUUUCGGGUCAAUGAUCCCAGUCCUGAAAAUGUGAUUACGUGAUUUCAAACUCUCUAAAAAAUGAAUUGCUAUUCUUUGUUUGAAGUAGAAAGACAAAUGCUGAAUUUCCAAAUUAUGAAGACAAAAAGGAACAAUAUGUUGGCCCAUCCCAAGGAUGCAUACCUAUCUCAGCUGUAAGCACAAGAAGCAGAUCUUAAAGAAACAUAAUAAUGAACUAGAGGAAGAGCAGCCUUUGUAAACUAGUGCUUUACUUGUAGUAGGAAACUUUUCCUGUUUUACUCUUUGAGCCUUUUUAAUACUGUCUGUAGUCUCCCAACCUACUGAGGCUGAUAAAACCUCAAGGUUUCUCCUGGAAACUCACUCCCCUUUGCUUUUACUCACAAGACCAUUAAGGUGCCAUAAUCUUGAGACUUGUGAAGGGGAGUGCGGGUGGGGAGGAGAGAGCGGGGCAGUGGGAGGCCUAUCACUUGGGAAGGGACUCUGUCCCUGUACUUUUGCCAAAGGCUAUCAUCUCAGGCAAUUUGUUUAAAAGUUUUUAAAGGGGUAAAAAAAACAAGAGGGAGAGAGUGGCUCAUAGGCACAGAGCUGUGGUGGUUCUUGCCAGGGAGGAAGGUGAAGUUGGCCAUCUUGCCUCAGUGGUAGAGACUACCUCAUCUAACUUGCCUUUUAGACUCUCCUUCUCCUCUCCCAAGACUUAACAGAUUCUUCUUUACUGUGAUUGCCCCUAAAGUAAAUGUUUAUCUUGGUAGUGUUCACAAAGCUCAAACCCAUUUAAGAACCCAUUAUUGGCUGGGAAACCACUACUAUCUUGAUUUUGCUUUAUGAGAAAAGAUUGGGCUCAAACCCAGGAACCAUACCAGUAAGCUCCAUUAUGGGGUGGCUUACAUAAUUCAAAAUGGUUUAUUUACAGUGGACUAUAGUCUGUUUGGAUAGUGAAGCAACUAAUUGACUAUUUCACACUUUCUUUGACAGGCAGAAGCAUUGGCUAAAUUUACAUUCAUUCAUUGUUUGCAGUCAUCCAUUCAUUCAUUGUAAGAAGAAAGGUUCCUCUUUAAGCAAAGGGAUAGAGGGGAGUAGCCUACUCUGUCUUUUUGCCCCCAAAUCUCCUUUCCUCCUAUUUAUUUGCCUGUUCCUGUUCUUCCUACUUCAUCCUAGACUUCUAUUGCUGAAGUGGCCCUAGCUUGGUUCCUCUUUGCUCAGGCUCCAUCCCACAGGCUUGGCUGCCCCCAGCAUAACAUACCUGGCCACCAGACCCUGAGUUUAAGAGGUGAUACUUCCCAGGUGGUUAUUUUCCCCUAGGCCAACACUCUUCCUGCUGCCCACAUUUUGUAAAUGGUUCCAAAUUUCUCCUGGUCACUGAAGCUCUCCCCAUAGGAGUCUUUUUGACUUAUCCCUUUACUCUCCACAACCCAUUGGUCACUGAGAUAUAGUGCUCUUCUCCUUGGUGCCAGAGUGCCUCCUUCUCAGGAUGCUCUAUUCCACUCUCUACCACCACUGCUCUUAGAGCUUAUCAUCUGUGGCAGUGUAGUGUGGACUCCCAUUUCCUCAUUUCCUUUUAAAUCUAGUCUAUAUAUGGCCCCAAGUCCCUAGAGGUGGUGGUGAUGGUGGUGGUAGGGACUUUAAUGGCUCCCCAUUGCCACAUAGGGUGAGUCCUUUCUCCUUUAUCAGACUCUCCACAAUCUAGCCUCAAAGUACCUUUCCUGCCUUGCCUCCUGCUAUCUUUUCAGGAUAAAUCUUGCAUAUUAAAUUAUACCAUUCUACAUGACCCAAACCAGUCUCGUCUCCAUGCUCUUGCUGGAGCCAUUCCCUCUGUCUAGAAAAUAGCAUAUAUUCCUUCUGUACCCAAGUCCCACCACCAUCUCCCAAAUGCUUUCCACCAUGACACCUUUCCCAAUCAUCACCUCUGGAAGUGAUUGUCUUCUUCAUCUCUGAAUCUCUGGCAUUUUGUUUUACCACUCAGAUAACUCAGUGCUUAUUCUAAUGGACCAUUUGUAGGGAAGAAGUGUGGAAUGAGUGGAAGGGCCAUACACGUUGAGGUUCAAAGCCUAUUUACUACUACUUGGGUGUGAGAAAUUGGGGAAGUUUCUUAAUCUCAGCUUCUUAAUUUGUAAAAGGGGUAUACAAAUGUCUACUUUUCAAGGCAGUUCUUAAGCCUUGAACUAAAUAUAUAUAAAGAAAUAAAGUACAUAAUAAGCAACCUAAAAUGAUAACUAUAAUUAUAGAAUAGUGCAUAUGUGCGUUAUCUCCCCUCUGCUUAUGAACACUAAUCAAACCAAUGUUGACUCUCAUAUCACACCUAAGUUCUAUUUCCUGUGCAAAAUCGGCCCCCAAAUAAACAUUGAACACCAAAUGAAUUAAUUUUAGUAGGAGUAACCAUUGUGAGUAUUUUAUCUACAAGAGCAGGCUGGUACAAGGGCAUCUUUUGGAGCAGGAAUAUUCUGCCCCAAGUCAUACCUUGUAGAAAACUGUCUAGACACGAUCUUAGUGCAAGCAUUAGGAAUUGCUGGAUAAAUUUCAGUUGAGUUUUGUAGUCUGAGAAGGGCUGCUAUAAAACUUGUAGCCAUAAAAGUGAGGCACUGAUGGGGCACCUGGGUGGCUCAGUCAGUUAAGCGUCCGACUUCAGCUCAGGUCAUGAUCUCACGGUUUGUGAGUUCGAGCCCCGCAUCGAGCUCUGUGCUGACAGCUCAGAGCCUGGAGCCUGCUUUGGAUUCUGUGUCUCCCUCUCUCUCUGCUACUCCCCUGCUCAUGCUCUGUCUCCCUCUGUCUCAAAAAUAAAUAAAAACAUUAAAAAAAAAAGUGAGGCACUGAGGCAGUGUGCACAUCAGGUACACCCGGAGGAAAGGUAAGUGUGGUUUUUCUUACAUUGUGCUCCAGCCCUCCCAGCUCCCCAUUGUUCUGUCCUGUGUUUCUCUAGCUGUGUUUCAGAAUGUUCCAAGUGUUCCUGUCCCUUACAAAUAAAAUGAGUGAGCUAGGGAGCACUAGCAGUAUAGCAUAUGCAGAGCUCUGCUGGUGCCUGUGGAUGUGGACUCAGCCCUACCUCUGAUUUGUUUUUAGUUUCCAAUCUGUCAAAUGGCAUUGAGGUCCUGACCCUCCCAGAUCUUAGGGCUCUCAGAGGAGUUCAAGGAAAUUCACAAUCGUGAACUUUGUGAUAGUUUAGUAGUAGAGCUGCUUUCUUUGAAAGUUUUCUCCUCCUGUGUGGGCUCCUGGAAAGCCCUAGGGGGCUAUUAGUAUGCCUUUGUUCUGGGCUGUCUUUCAAUGGUAAAGGCAGAACCCAGCCUAUAAUUCCAGGGCAGUACUGUUCAUACCCCUCAAAGGACUUUAAGAACCAAAAUCACAGCAGUAGUAAGGGCAGGGCGAGGGAGGGGGGCAAGAGGCAGAUAUACCCUUUAACCCAAGUACAAUGUUCAAUGGAUGAGAAAGUGUCCUCGACUUGGCAGUCAGGACAUGUCUAGUGUGAUCUCUGCCAUUAACAUGCUGAAGGCUUUAGGUAAAGUCACUUAAUCUCUUUGGCCUCCUAUCUCAUGUAUUUGUAACAAAUGAUUUCAAUGGUACCUUCUAGAAACAGAUUAACAUACUCUCACUCUGUCUCUCUCCUUCCCAUGUGCUGUUAUAUCAGAUGCUAGAAUACCUAAACCUUUUAAGGAGAAUACAGGGGCGCCUGGGUGGUUCAGUCAGUUAGGCAUCCGACAUCAGCUCAGGUCAUGAUCUCACGGUUCAUGGGUUCGAGCCCCACGUCAGGCUCUGUGAUGACAGCUCAAGGCCUGGAGCCUGCUUCAGAUUCUGUGUCUCCCCCUCUCUCUGCUCCUCCCCCAUUCAUGCUCUGUGUCUCAAAUGUAAAUAAACGUUAAAAAAAUUUAAAAAAUAGAAUACAUGGGGAGAUUCUCAAAUUCCCUAUGUAUUCUUUACUAGAAUUUAUUUGCCUCCAAACUAGUUUGCAAUCUGAAGAUUUUCCUUCCUUGCUUUCCUUUUCACAAUUGCUAUUCUUUCCAAAGAGGAGAAAAAACAGAAUGUAAAAUGUGGGUCAAAAAGGAUUGUAGAUUUAGUUCUUUCUCUUCAGUGAGGCAGUCAGUCAGCAGAGGUAGAGAUGUAGAUCUUUGUAAGACCCUGAUGGGCAAGACCACACCCUUGAGGUUGAGGAGUGUCAUCAUCAAGAAUGUCAAAGCCAAAAUUCAAGACAGGGAAGGCUUCCCACUUAACCAGUGGCAUCUGGUUUUUGUGAGUAAACAGUUGGAGAGUGGCCACACUCAGACUGCAACAUCCAGAAAAAAAUCCACCCUGAACUCAGUGUUUCUCCUGUCAAGUGGCAUUAUUGAACCUUCCCUCUACCAGCUUUCCCAGAAAUACAACUUCAACAAGAUGAAAUGUCCCAAGUACUUUCCUUGCCUGUACCCCCACACGGUCAAAUGUUAUAAGCCACACCAACAACUUGUACCCACAAGGGUGACCUCCCGCACGAGCUCCAUGGCCCUGGGGCCAAAAAAAAAGGGGGGG
Acinonyx jubatus (cheetah) is the source of this 7609-nucleotide long non-coding RNA. RefSeq lists it as uncharacterized. The transcript is spliced from 5 exons. NCBI's taxonomy places the organism in Eukaryota, Metazoa, Chordata, Mammalia, Carnivora, Felidae. The record is from RefSeq and is a predicted model, not a curated record.